UGUCCAGACUCCUACGGGAGGCAGCAGUGGGGAAUAUUGCACAAUGGGCGAAAGCCUGAUGCAGCAACGCCGCGUGAAGGAAGACGGUUUUCGGAUUGUAAACUUCUGUUCUUAGUGAAGAAUAAUGACGGUAACUAAGGAGCAAGCCCCGGCUAACUACGUGCCAGCAGCCGCGGUAAUACGUAGGGGGCAAGCGUUAUCCGGAUUUACUGGGUGUAAAGGGAGCGUAGACGGCAGUGCAAGUCUGAAGUGAAAGCCCCGGGCUUAACCCGGGAAUUGCUUUGGAAACUGUACGGCUGGAGUGCUGGAGAGGGAAGCGGAAUUCCUAGUGUAGCGGUGAAAUGCGUAGAUAUUAGGAGGAACACCAGUGGCGAAGGCGGCUUACUGGACAGUAACUGACGUUGAGGCUCGAAAGCGUGGGGAGCAAACAGGAUUAGAUACCCCCGUAACA
RNAcentral lists this ribosomal RNA (451 nucleotides) under uncultured bacterium. RNAcentral's name for it is "bacterial SSU rRNA". It matches the Rfam family "Bacterial small subunit ribosomal RNA", at positions 328 to 795 of the family's 1533-position model. The record is from RNAcentral.